GCAAGUCGAACGGUAACAUAAGAGCUUGCUCUUGGUGACGACCGGCGCACGGGUGCGUAACGCGUAUGCAACCUACCUCUUACUGGGGGAUAGCCCGAAGAAAUUCGGAUUAAUACCCCAUAGUAUUAUUUAACCGCAUGGUUUUAAUAAUUAAAGAUUACGGUAAGAGAUGGGCAUGCGUCCUAUUAGUUUGAUGGUAAGGUAACGGCUUACCAUGACUACGAUAGGUAGGGGGCCUGAGAGGGUGAUC
Molecule: ribosomal RNA, 250 nt
Filed under: uncultured bacterium
Lineage: Bacteria
Description: partial 16S ribosomal RNA
Rfam family: Bacterial small subunit ribosomal RNA
Source: RNAcentral